AGUGGCGGACGGGUGAGUAACACGUAAGAAUUUGCCUUUAGGAGGGGGACAACAACUGGAAACGGUUGCUAAUACCCCAUAUGCUUUCGAGUGAAAUGGAUUUUUCCGCCUAAAGAGAAGCUUGCGGCUGAUUAGCUUGUUGGUGAGGUAAUGGCUCACCAAGGCGACGAUCAGUACCUGGUUUGAGAGGAUGAUCAGACACACUGGAACUGAGACACGGUCCAGACUCCUACGGGAGGCAGCAGUGGGGAAUUUUCCGCAAUGGGCGAAAGCCUGACGGAGCAAUCUCGCGUGAGGGAUGACGGCCUAUGGGUUGUAAACCUCUUUUUUCAGGGAGGAACAAAAUGACGUGUACCUGAAGAAUAAGCAUCGGCUAACUCCGUGCCAGCAGCCGCGGUAAGACGGGGGAUGCAAGUGUUAUCCGGAAUCACUGGGCGUAAAGCGUCUGUAGGUGGUUUAAUAAGUCAACUGUUAAAUCUUGAAGCUCAACUUCAAAAUCGCAGUCGAAACUAUUAGACUAGAGUAUAGUAGGGGUAAAGGGAAUUUCCAGUGGAGCGGUGAAAUGCGUAGAUAUUGGAAGGAACACCGAUGGCGAAGGCACUUUACUGGGCUAUUACUGACACUCAGAGACGAAAGCUAGGGUAGCAAAUGGGAUUAGAUACCCCAGUAGUCCUAGCCGUAAACAAUGGAUACUAGAUGU
RNAcentral lists this ribosomal RNA (700 nucleotides) under uncultured bacterium. RNAcentral describes it as "bacterial SSU rRNA". It matches the Rfam family "Bacterial small subunit ribosomal RNA", at positions 94 to 823 of the family's 1533-position model. The record is from RNAcentral.